UCUAGAUUUGUUAUAAAUACUUGUGAACAGUCAGUCCGUUCACUGUCACUCAAAAUGAAGUAUUCAAUGAGAAUUUACUGCAUUUGUUCUGUUAUUUGCACAAGACGUAUAUUGAUAAAAUAGGACAUAUUUUUAUAUGUCUUCUGUUUCACGCUGUCUCAUUCUUUAUCGAGAGUAAUUCUUCGUGAUGUUACGAUGUUGUCUGUUGCCAUCACGUCAACCAUUGAACCAGUACUUGU
Molecule: unclassified non-coding RNA, 239 nt
Filed under: Limulus polyphemus (Atlantic horseshoe crab)
Lineage: Eukaryota; Metazoa; Arthropoda; Merostomata; Xiphosura; Limulidae
Description: uncharacterized LOC106463842, transcript variant X1
Source: RNAcentral